CCAAUAGCGUAUAUUAAAGUUGUUGCAGUUAAAAAGCUCGUAGUUGAACUUCGGGGUCUACCCAUUGGUCAGGCUUAAUUGUCUGCACUGGUGAGAUGGAUCUCUACCUUCUGAGGAACUUUCAUGCCAUUUAUUUGGUGUGAUGGGAAAUCAGGACUGUUACUUUGAAAAAAUUAGAGUGUUUAAAGCAGACUAUCGUCUGAAUACAUUAGCAUGGAAUAAUGAAAUAGGACGGACUGAUUCUAUUUCGUUGGUUUCUAGGAUCACCGUAAUGAUUAAUAGGGAUAGUUGGGGGCAUUAGUAUUCAAUUGUCAGAGGUGAAAUUCUUGGAUUUAUUGAAGACUAACUACUGCGAAAGCAUUUGCCAAGGAUGUUUUCAUUAAUCAAGAACGAAAGUUAGGGGAUCGAAGACGAUCAGAUACCGUCGUAGUCUUAACCAUAAACUAUGCCGACUAGGGAUCGGAUGAUGUUAAUUUUAUAAUGACUCAUUCGGUACCUUACG
RNAcentral lists this ribosomal RNA (502 nucleotides) under uncultured Glomeromycotina. Its description in RNAcentral is "partial small subunit ribosomal RNA". It matches the Rfam family "Eukaryotic small subunit ribosomal RNA", at positions 591 to 1092 of the family's 1831-position model. Lineage: Eukaryota; Fungi; Glomeromycota. The record is from RNAcentral.